UGAACUUCAGCCAAACUUGUGCAACCAUCAAGUAUCAAUUCGACCAGACAAGGUAAAUAUUGAAAAUUUGGCGUGCAAAAAAGUUUCUCACAACAUCUGAGGUUGAGAACUUUCAGCUUCCCAAGCAUCUGCAAUUCAUUGCCACUGUAGUGAGGCAAAAAGGAACGCUUACAUGGAGAAAAUGAGGCAGAGUAACUUCAGUCAAGAAAGGAUCAGAAUAUCCGAUGCCAGUCUGACAUGAGUCCAAACUUGUGAAAUCAUGCUAUAAGAAAGGUCCAGAAUGACUGCUUUCUCAAGAGAAAGUUCAUCAGCGUAAGUUUGGUCAUUGUUUCAAAUGCCUCUGCACCAACGCAUGUCUGCUUGCCUUUUUCUGAUUGGAGUGCAAUACCUUUUAUGUUCUCUCUUCCCUAUAAAAUGAAAAGACGAUAGAAUUUCAACUUGAGGCAUUACCUGAGAAUGAAAUAUUAUAGACAAUGAGAAGUGUAUGGUGGUUUCUUUGAUGUAUUCGAUGUCUGACAUGAACAAUAAGUUUCCUUGUGGUCUUCGACAUCUCACUGUACCAUUGUUGCCUAGAAGUUUACUUACAGAAAGAGUUGAUAAUGUAACUCCAUCCUCAACAACAUUCUAAUUAGGUAAUUAUUGGCAACACAGCUUUAGUGUACGAACGGUGAUUGAGAAUACGAACGGUGAUUGAGCUUCUUUGUCCUGCAUAGCCUAAACUAGAGGAGGUUUCUAAUAACUCGUCGUCUUGGUCAUAAAUGGAAACCAUACUUUGUUCUGAAUAAGUUUUGCCAAGACGAAAACAUGAAAAUUGAUUUUGACAAUGAUAUUUAACUCUCAUACCAAUAGUUGUCAAGAUAAAUCCAAAAUAAUGAAGUCGUUGUCUAGUAGCACUGAGGAAAACAUGAUAUUCAUUACGAUUAAGAUGAUAACCACAAGGACUCAGCUAAUGAAACCUUCAGCAUGAAGUUAGGCAAGUAUGUCCCUUUUGAUCGAAUCUGCCAGGUGAUCUCCAAUACCGCAUCACAGAUUGACUGGUUGAGAACAAACGUUGCAACAAGAAGAAUUUUUAUGAUUUGAGCGUGUAUAAUUUAGAAAAAAAAUGGAAAAAGAUAUAAAGUAGCGCAAAUAAGAUCCAUUUGAUCUUACCUUCUUGUGUUUUAGCAAGUGCAGUAUUUCAUCAUUGUUCCACAACCUGCUGCGUAGCUCUGGAGGUUCCUUUUGUGAGACAAUGUGCCUACCCAUGUCCUGUAUUUGUUCAUGCAC
This is a long non-coding RNA of Nymphaea colorata (pocket water lily), 1266 nucleotides long. RefSeq lists it as uncharacterized. The transcript is spliced from 3 exons. The record is from RefSeq and is a predicted model, not a curated record. NCBI's taxonomy places the organism in Eukaryota, Viridiplantae, Streptophyta, Magnoliopsida, Nymphaeales, Nymphaeaceae.